Phrynosoma platyrhinos (Desert horned lizard) is the source of this 71-nucleotide non-coding RNA. The record is from the annotation of a GenBank genome assembly. NCBI's taxonomy places the organism in Eukaryota, Metazoa, Chordata, Lepidosauria, Squamata, Phrynosomatidae.
CCCAGUGUGGCGUAGUGGUUGAGUGUUGGACUAUGACUCUGGAAGCCAGGGUUCGACUCUCUGCUUGGCCA